This 1201-nucleotide ribosomal RNA is filed under the name metagenome. Its description in RNAcentral is "bacterial SSU rRNA". It matches the Rfam family "Bacterial small subunit ribosomal RNA", at positions 305 to 1498 of the family's 1533-position model. The record is from RNAcentral.
CAGUCACACUGGAACUGAGACACGGUCCAGACUCCUACGGGAGGCAGCAGUGGGGAAUCUUGCACAAUGGGCGAAAGCCUGAUGCAGCGACGCCGCGUGGGUGAAGAAGGCCCUCGGGUCGUAAAGCCCUUUCGGCUGGGAAGAAGGGCGAUGGAGUUAAUACUCCCAUCGUCUGACGGUACCAGAAGAAGAAGCACCGGCUAAUUCCGUGCCAGCAGCCGCGGUAAUACGGAAGGUGCAAGCGUUGUUCGGAAUGACUGGGCGUAAAGAGCACGUAGGCGGCUUUGUAAGUCGGAUGUGAAAUCCCCGGGCUCAACCCGGGAACUGCACCCGAAACUACUUAGCUUGAAUGCUUGAGAGGUUGGUAGAAUUCCAGGUGUAGGAGUGAAAUCCGUAGAUAUCUGGAGGAACAUCGGUGGCGAAGGCGGCCAACUGGCGAUGCAUUGACGCUAAGGUGCGAAAGCGUGGGGAGCAAACAGGAUUAGAUACCCUGGUAGUCCACGCCGUAAACAAUGGAUACUAGGUGUUCGGGAAGUUAACCUCCUGAGUACCAAAGCUAACGCAUUAAGUAUCCCGCCUGGGGAGUACGGUCGCAAGGCUAAAACUCAAAGGAAUUGACGGGGGCCCGCACAAGCGGUGGAGUAUGUGGUUUAAUUCGAAGCAACGCGCAGAACCUUACCUACCCUUAACAUCCCGUGACAACUGCAGAGAUGUAGCGUUCCCUUCGGGGACACGGUGAUAGGUGCUGCAUGGCUGUCGUCAGCUCGUGUCGUAAGAUGUCCGGUUAAGUCCGAUAACGAGCGCAACCCUUAUCCUUAGUUACCAGCUUUAAGUAGGGGACUCUAGGGAGACUGCCGGUGUUAAACCGGAGGAAGGCGGGGAUGACGUCAAGUCCUCAUGGCCCUUACGGGUAGGGCUACACACGUACUACAAUGGCAGAAACAAACCGUCGCGAAGCCGUAAGGUGGAGCUAAUCGGUAAAACACUGUCUCAGUCCGGAUUGGGGUCUGCAACUCGACCCCAUGAAGCUGGAAUCGCUAGUAAUCGCUGAUCAGCAAGCAGCGGUGAAUACGUUCCCGGGCCUUGUACACACCGCCCGUCACACCACGAAAGUGGUCAUAACCAGAAGCAGAUGAGCUAACCGCAAGGAGGCAGUCUACCAAGGUUGUGGCCGCGAUUGGGGUGAAGUCGGAACAAGGUA